Molecule: long non-coding RNA, 2438 nt
Organism: Mercenaria mercenaria
Lineage: Eukaryota; Metazoa; Mollusca; Bivalvia; Venerida; Veneridae
Exons: 4
Source: RefSeq, a predicted model, not a curated record
UUAUGCUGAAUUCAGAUUUCCACUCGGAUUUUGCAAAUUUUUAGUAUAUAGAUACAAUGACAGUCAGAGAUUUUAUGCUAAAUGGGCAUGGGAUGCUUGGAUGUGCCCCUUCAAACCAAGUCCACGUUUAAAAUUUGCUGAAUAGCGACAUUGUUUGGGAAAAAUACUCUGACAGAAAAGAGUCUAAACUGUGGAUAGACAUCAGUCUGACAUCUGUGUGUUUAUUUCCAUAAGUGAAGUUUGUAUCAACUGACUGAAGGAUCAGUGUUAAAGGAUAACACUACAAUGAAAACAGCUGUGAGUUGUUUCUUUUGAAAAUGACUGCUUGAUGAUAAAGUUUCAAACAACUAUGAAGUGAGUGGAUGUUCUAGAGAGACUAAUUCUUCAAAGAAUGAAUAAUCAUCAUCAUGCUUAUAUUGGAAUAAAAGGAAGGAAGUGACAGCUACAGUCAGGGUAAAAGUAAAUGCAGUCAGAAGACCUCUGAUAUCACCUGAAGAGCCAGCCUUCUCAAGAUUCUGUAUCAAAUAAAAAUAACAAGGACUGCUAAAAAGACUUUUUAUAACUUGCAAAUGUGCAGCCUGUGACAUAACUGUCUGAUCCAGGUAGUUUAGUGUUGACAAGAUGACAUUUCAUCUCUAUAGUAGAGGACACAAGUUUGAAAUGCAGUAUGUCAUUGUGAAGGCAAAAUGUUUAUGAAAAUAGUGUGUGUGUGUUUCCCAAAUAGAGAGGCUGAAAGUGGGGAAUCAUCAAUUAGUGUUUUUGGAAUAAGUUAUGGACAUCUGAAUAGUAAAGAUCUGUCCCUUUUUUGGAUUGCCACAGACAAAAAUAAUGAUUGGUGCCUUUGACAUAAAUAGAAGAACUCGCACUGGACACCCUGAAGAUGGAAUUACAAGAAUGUAUGUUGUUUGCAUUAAUGUUUUUUUUUCUUCAGAUUUAUGGAAAAACAAUUAGAAUGUCAUUUCUUAAAAAUGUUGAUAGUUGUUUAACCAAAGGCCCUGUAAUUGAAAAAUAUCUUUAUUCUUGACUUUAUCAUGUUUAUAUUAAAAUAAAAAAAAUUUGAUACUGUUUGAUUACUUUUGCAUGUAUAACAUUAAAUUUGUUAUAUUUAAAUUUGAUAAAAUUUAAUGUAUUUUGAAAAAGAUGCACUUGAACAUAUCUAAAUGGAAUAAACACAUGACAGUCUUUGAAUAUCUGUAAAAAAGCACAUAUUUUGCAGUUCUCAUCAGAUUUGGUUACCAAUUUACAGCAUAAUUAUACAUGAAGGCUUAUUACUCAAACAUAUGCAGAUCUAAUUGUAUAUUUUCUACCAUAGAUAAUUUUAUUUCAUAUAGAUUUUUUAAAUCUUUUAAAAAUACUGAGAAAAUAUAGCAAAACAAUGGUUGAAUUAGUAUACUUGAUUUUGUGAGACUGUUGAAAUAUUACAAUUCUUUUUCCCUCUUAAGCCUGUAUCAUAAAAUUAUAUUUUCUGAUGAAAUUUAUUUUUUAAGAAUGUUGCAAUGCAGAUUUUAAUGAAAAUUCAUACAUUUGUAAAGUUACCUAUAUUGUGUUAGGUAAUAACUUAAGCCCAUAUAUACUAAUUGGCCAAUGAUUAAAGAGAACAUCUGAGUUUCUAGCUGACUGUCUGACUAAUUUAAGACCUCAUUCAUGUAACAACAUCUAUUAAUCUUCAGAAAUCCAGUAAAAUUGUCAUCUGUAAAACAGGUUUCAUUCUAAGAUAUACAAGGCAUAUAACAUCCUAUUUUACCAGCAUGUAUUUACUUCAAUAAAUAAAGUAGAUUUAGUUGUGUAUUUUGAUAAAUUUCAGAAAAAGCAUUAGGAGAUAUUUCUGCAACUGCAGUUUGUAUUAACUGAGUAUUUACUGGCACUGGAAUGUGCAUGAUCAGGGUUUUUCUGAAUAAACUUAGUAAAGUCUUAAAUCUACAUUAUCUAUAGCUAUCUGUAAAAAGUCUAGCCAUUGUCUUGAUAGUUUGAAAGAAUUAAAUACAUUUGAGCCGCACCAUGAGAAAACCAACAUAUUGGCUUUGCGACCAGCAUAGAUCCAGAGCAGCCCGCGCAGUCUGGUCUGGAUCCAUCCUGUUCGCUUUCAAAGCAUAUUGCAAUUAGAGAAACUGUUAGUGAACAGCAUGGAUCCUGACCAGACUGCACUGAUGCACAGGCUGGUAUGGAUCCAUUCUGGUCGCAAACGCACUAUGUUGGUUUUCUCAUGGCGCGGCUCAUUUAAAGUUGUAUCUAGCAAAAUAUUGACUAAACUGUUCUGUAGAUAAUUUGAUUUAAUUUGAUUGUUAAAGGAAGAAUGUGCAUCAUGAUUGUUAUUACAUAAACAUACUGUAUUAUUUUUUAAAUAUCAUGAUAUUUUUCAGUCUUGGAUUACACUGUUAUUUGUUCAUAAUUUUGAAAUGUAUUUAAAAUGUAAAUAUUAAAUCAAAUGGCGAAGUAGA